GGAUGAAGAACGUAGCAAAAUGCGAUAAGUAAUGUGAAUUGCAGAAUUCAGUGAAUCAUCGAAUCUUUGAACGCACAUUGCGCCCGCUGGUAUUCCGGCGGGCAUGCCUGUUCGAGCGUCAUUUCAACCCUCAAGCCCCCGGGUUUGGUGUUGGGGAUCGGCUCUGCCCUUCUGGGCGGUGCCGCCCCCGAAAUACAUUGGCGGUCUCGCUGCAGCCUCCAUUGCGUAGUAGCUAACACCUCGCAACUGGAACGCGGCGCGGCCAUGCCGUAAAACCCCAACUUCUGAAUGUUGACCUCGGAUCAGGUAGGAAUACCCGCUGAACUUAAGCAUAUCAAUAAGCGGAGGA
This 349-nucleotide unclassified non-coding RNA is filed under the name soil metagenome. RNAcentral describes it as "partial contains 5.8S ribosomal RNA, internal transcribed spacer 2, and large subunit ribosomal RNA". The stretch from base 2 to 121 matches the Rfam family "5.8S ribosomal RNA", at positions 35 to 154 of the family's 154-position model. The record is from RNAcentral.